CAGAGGGAAUUUCACGUGUAGGGGGUAAAAUCCGUAGAGAUGUGAAGGAACACCCGGAGGCGAAGGACGCCUGCCUGGACGACUAUUGACGCUGAGGCGCGAAAGCGUGGGGAGCAAACAGGAUUAGAUACCCUGGUAGUCCACGCCGUAAACGAUGAGCACUAGUUAUUGGAGGUAUUGACUCCUUCAGUGACGCAGCUAACGCAUUAAGUGCUCCGCCUG
RNAcentral lists this ribosomal RNA (222 nucleotides) under uncultured Bacteriovorax sp. RNAcentral's name for it is "partial 16S ribosomal RNA". It matches the Rfam family "Bacterial small subunit ribosomal RNA", at positions 659 to 875 of the family's 1533-position model. The record is from RNAcentral. Lineage: Bacteria; Pseudomonadati; Bdellovibrionota; Bacteriovoracia; Bacteriovoracales; Bacteriovoracaceae.